GGAGGCAGCAGUAGGGAAUCUUCCGCAAUGGACGAAAGUCUGACGGAGCAACGCCGCGUGAGUGAUGAAGGCUUUCGGGUCGUAAAACUCUGUUGUUAGGGAAGAACAAGUGCUAGUUGAAUAAGCUGGCACCUUGACGGUACCUAACCAGAAAGCCACGGCUAACUACGUGCCAGCAGCCGCGGUAAU
Molecule: ribosomal RNA, 189 nt
Filed under: Bacillus sp. enrichment culture DGGE gel band jl-20d-3
Lineage: Bacteria; Bacillati; Bacillota; Bacilli; Caryophanales; Bacillaceae
Description: partial 16S ribosomal RNA
Rfam family: Bacterial small subunit ribosomal RNA
Source: RNAcentral